UCCAAUUUGGGGAUAUUAGUUUUCAGAGGGAGACAGUGAAAAGAUCUCAUUCUGCUAGUAAUACUAACUUGUUGGAUGGAGACCUUGGUAGUGCAGUUGUUUGCGAGGAGGUAGCAGUGCCGGCUGUCUGUGGCAUUAGAGCAAUUUUGGUGUCUCCUGUCAACAGAAGAAAAUGAAUAGCCACUCAGUUGCUGGAUGAAGUGAGUGUUGCUGCCUCUUCAAUGUCUGCACUAAAGCAGCCAACCGUUCGAGUUCAGGCUAUCAUUGCUAAAGGUGUACCGAGUUAGAUGCUAAGCAAUUGAUUGUGGCUAUCAUUGCAUUAUUUUCUUAUGAUCGAGUUGUGGCUAUCAUUGCAUUAUUUGCUUCUGAAAAUUUGAGAAACUUCAUGUUGCAGAAACUAUUAGUACUAAAGAAUUAUGUCAACAUGUAAUAAGAAGAAUCACUAUAACAUAUCUGUUGUGUAUGUCUCACAAUGUGGUUAUCUAGGCUAUCAAAAAGUGGUUAAAACAGCUAGUGACCAUAACUGUUUUAACAAGAUUCCUCAAGUUCACUUACUUUGGUUCAGCUGCAGAGUUAGUUAAGUUGAUUUUUUAGUUUUGUUUUCGGGUUGGUUCUUUUGUAUUUUGGUGCACGUAUAUAAGUGAACCUUGCAUCAUUAUUUAUGUACACAGAUUUAGAGAGCACUAAGAGAAAAAGAAGAGAGAAAGAGAGAGUUCAGUGAGUUGUAGAGGUUGGAGUUAAAGAGAGAGCAUUAUUUAUGUACACUGUUGUUGAUGAUAGUGUUGAAUGUUUUAAACUAAUUUGUGGAUUUUUAAUACAAUGUUGAAUGUUCUUACUUUUUGUUAUUUGAAAAUCAAGUUCGUUUGA
Humulus lupulus (European hop) is the source of this 867-nucleotide long non-coding RNA. RefSeq lists it as uncharacterized. NCBI's taxonomy places the organism in Eukaryota, Viridiplantae, Streptophyta, Magnoliopsida, Rosales, Cannabaceae. The record is from RefSeq and is a predicted model, not a curated record. The transcript is spliced from 2 exons.